UAGAGUUAAUUGUUGAAUAUAGUCCGUUCAUACACACAAAAAUACUCCUCAAAUCUCGAUAUGAUGAUGUUCUUUUCAAAGCUAGUUCUUCUGAUUUCCCUUAUGUUAAUCGCAACUGGUAACUCUCUCUCCCCUUAACUUAUGCAAAAUAAAUACGACGAUCCAGUUUUUAAUUUUUAUUAUACUCUAAGUUGCUAUAAAAAUAAAUUAUUGCAGGUCCAAUGGUGGAUGCAAAGAAACCACUUCCAUUUUGCGAUGUUACUGCAGAUUGCCUCCCAAUAUGUCAAAAAUUCCAUUGUUUUAUUUGUGGCUGUAGUGCUGGAAUAUGCGUUCGUGGCUGCCCCCCACCCUCAAGGAAACUACUCUCUAUUCAUUCCAACAAUCCAAAUAAUUGAUUAAUUUGUUAUAAUCCAACUUAUUUUCUAAUAAAAAUAAGAAAAUAAGUUGUUUUUUUUACAUCUAUAUAUAAUAUCAAUGAAUAAAAGAUCAAAGUUA
This 495-nucleotide long non-coding RNA is filed under the name Olea europaea (common olive). RNAcentral's name for it is "long non-coding RNA (OEUR_LNC002964)". The record is from RNAcentral. Lineage: Eukaryota; Viridiplantae; Streptophyta; Magnoliopsida; Lamiales; Oleaceae.